GCGUCGGUGGUGCAGCGACUAGCAUGCGCUCCUGGACAGAGUGAGACCUGGGUUCGUAUCCCGGCUGGAGCU
Non-coding RNA from Parelaphostrongylus tenuis, 72 nucleotides. The record is from the annotation of a GenBank genome assembly. NCBI's taxonomy places the organism in Eukaryota, Metazoa, Nematoda, Chromadorea, Rhabditida, Metastrongylidae.